CUGGGCUGGCUGCUGGAGGCCACGUCCAAGUCCACGCGUCCGCAGCUCAUUGGUCAGUGAGCUCACAGCGACGGUGGCGCGGAGCAGGCUCGGGGUCAGCGUGCUGGACGACCUGGAGGCUCCUCAAAUGUGCUCUCUCUGACCCAGGUGACUCCGUCUCAGCCCCAUGUUGCAGGUCUGCCUUUUCUCCUUUCUCUCCACUGCAAUUUCUCCUCAGAAGCAAACCUAAACUGGAAGGGGAAAAAACAACAACUUCAGCGUGCUACGAUGAUUAGUAGUCAAAGUCUCGCCAAAGGGAUGCUUCCGUAAAAGUAUGAUCAAAUAUAGUGAAUGCUGCUGCUGAGCACCAUCUAAUGGAAAGGCAAGUUUGUAAAAAUGUCCGGUGUGUCCUUAUCUACCAGAUGUGGCACCGUGUGACUUCUGGCUCUUCUCCAAAAUCAAAGUGACCAUGAAAGGUAAAUGUUUUGAAUUCAUUCAGGAUAUUGAGGAAGCAUAACUGCAACACCUGUAACAGAAGACUUCCAGAACCGCCUCAUAAAGU
Long non-coding RNA from Chinchilla lanigera (long-tailed chinchilla), 541 nucleotides. RefSeq lists it as uncharacterized. The record is from RefSeq and is a predicted model, not a curated record. Lineage: Eukaryota; Metazoa; Chordata; Mammalia; Rodentia; Chinchillidae. The transcript is spliced from 3 exons.